CGAGCCCAGCCGGUUUAUUAAUUUGAUGGAAACCCGGAGCUCAACUCCGGAAUUGCAUUGAAACUGGUUAACUUGAGUCCAGUAGAGGUAAGUGAACUCCAUGUGUAGCGGUGGAAUGCGUAGAUAUAUGGAAGAACACCAGUGGCGAAGGCGGCUUACUGGACUGCAACUGACGUUGAGGCUCGAAAGUGUGGGUAGCAACCAGGAUUAGAUACCCUGGUAGUCCACACCGUAACCGAUGACCACUAGGUGUUAGGAGGUUUCCGCCUCUUAGUCCCGAAGCUAACCCAUUAAGUGUUCCGCCUGGGGAGUACGACCGCAAGGUUGAACCUCAAAGGAAUUGACGGGGACCCGCACAAGCGGUGGAGCAUGUGGUUUAAUUCGAAGCAACGCGAAGACCCUUACCAGGUCUUGCCAUCCUUUGAAGCUUUUAGAGAUAGAAGUGUUUUCUUCGGAGACAAAGUGCCAGGUGGUGCAUGGUCGUCGUCAGCUCGUGUCGUGAGAUGUUGGGUUAAGUCCCGCAACGAGCGCAACCCUUAUUGUUAGUUGCCACCAUUCAGAUGGCCACUCUAGCGAGACUGCCGGUGCCAAACCGGAGGAAGGCGGGGACGACGUCAGAUCAUCAUGCCCCUUAUGCCCUGGGCUACCCACGUGCUCCAAUGGCGUAUACAACGAGUUGCCAGCCCGCGAGGGUGAGUUAAUCUCUUAAAGUACGUCUCAGUUCGGAUUGUAGUCUGCAACUCGACUCCAUGAAGUCGGAAUCGUUAGUAAUCGCGGAUCACCACGCCGCGGUGAAUACGUUCCCGGGUCUUGUCCCCACCGCCCGUCCCACCAUGGGAGUUUGUAAUGCCCAAAGCCGGUGGCCUAACCUUCGGGAAGGAGCCGUC
This 887-nucleotide ribosomal RNA is filed under the name Leuconostoc mesenteroides. RNAcentral's name for it is "bacterial SSU rRNA". It matches the Rfam family "Bacterial small subunit ribosomal RNA", at positions 566 to 1457 of the family's 1533-position model. The record is from RNAcentral. Lineage: Bacteria; Bacillati; Bacillota; Bacilli; Lactobacillales; Lactobacillaceae.